Molecule: ribosomal RNA, 192 nt
Filed under: uncultured bacterium
Lineage: Bacteria
Description: partial 16S ribosomal RNA
Rfam family: Bacterial small subunit ribosomal RNA
Source: RNAcentral
ACUCCUACGGGAUAAGCUGGGGAAUUUUGCGCAAUGGGGGAAACCCUGACCAGCAACGCCGCGUGGGUGAUGAAGGCCUUCGGGUCGUAAAGCUCUGUCUGGAGGGAAGAAAUGAUUGGAGCUAAUACCUCUUGUCUUGACGGUACCUCUGAAGGAAGCACCGGCUAACUCCGUGCCAGCAGCCGCGGUAAU